RNAcentral lists this ribosomal RNA (1425 nucleotides) under Triticum aestivum (bread wheat). RNAcentral describes it as "partial small subunit ribosomal RNA". Lineage: Eukaryota; Viridiplantae; Streptophyta; Magnoliopsida; Poales; Poaceae. The record is from RNAcentral.
AUGGCUCGGAGCGGCAGCGGCGCCAGCCCGUGCGACCUGGACAAGGAGUUCGCCCCCCAGAUCGCCCAGCUCCUCGCCGCCCCUUCUCUCCAGUCCGCCCAGGAAUACUAUGAGGAGCUCAUACAGUCCAAGAAACAUGACGGCAUAAGAGUCAACUACAAAGGCGAUCAUGGGAAAGGUGUUUGUGCAAACAAGGAUUUUGCUGAAGGAGACCUUAUUCUGAAGGAUCAAAUAUUGGUUGGUGCACAGCACAGUCUUAACAAGAUUGACUGCGUCGUGUGUAGUUAUUGCUUCCGCUUCAUUGGUUCUGUAGAGUUCCAGAUUGGACAUAGACUGUAUUUUCAAAGCAUUGCUUCAAGCAUUGGCUGCAGCAGUGAGAGGCACUGUCAUGGAAGUGAUGUGGGAUCAAGCACUUGCUCUUCUGGUGUAACAAAGGAAAAGAGUACUACUUUGCCAGAAGAGGUCAUAGAAUCACUUAUAACUGGCGACGUGUCACUGCCUUUCUCAGACCACUUCCCUUUACCAGAAAUUAUUGCCUGUCAAGGAUGUGAGGAAGAGCGCUACUGCAGCCAAUCAUGUGCAGACUCUGACUGGGAAUCCUACCAUUCUUUGCUCUGUGCUGGCCCCAACACUGAACCACCCCGAAGAUCUGCUCUUCACAAAUUUGUAGAGCAUGCUAAUGAAACCAAUGAUAUUUUCUUGGUUGCCGCCAAGGCUAUCACUUUCACCAUGUUGAGGUACAAGAAACUCAAAAGACAGAACGACUUCCAAAACAAAUCAGCUGAAUCAAACUUUUCUUUGCUUAUGGAAGCCUGGAAACCACUUUCCAUGGGCUUCAAAAAGAGAUGGUGGGAUUAUGUUGCUUUGCCUGAGGAUGUUGAUGCUUCCGAUGAAGAUUCAUUUAGGCAGGAAAUAAGGGAUCUAGCAUUUACGUCACUACAGCUUCUCAAGGAUGCGAUCUUCGAUGCUGAGUGUGCACCAUUGUUUUCCCUUGAGGUGUAUGGCCAUAUAAUUGGCAUGUUUGAGCUGAACAAUCUUGAUUUGGUCGUUGCAUCGCCUGUUGAAGACUAUUUCAUACACCUUGAUGAUCUUCCAGAUGAUAAGAAGGAGGAAGCUGAAAAGGCGACAGCGCCAUUGCUAGAUGCUUUAGAUGAUGACUAUGCAGUUCCUUGUGAUGGGACGGCGUUCUUUCCUCUGCAAAGCUGUAUGAAUCACUCAUGCUGUCCAAAUGCUAAAGCAUUUAAAAGGGAUGAGGAUAAUGACGGCCACGCAGUGAUAAUCGCUCUGGGGCCUAUCAGCAAGGACGAAGAGAUCACCAUCUCCUACAUCGACGAAGAACUUCCCUACGAGGAGCGGCAGGCGGAGCUCGCGGACUACGGGUUCACGUGUACCUGCUCCAAGUGCCAGGAGGAAAAGCCCAACUGA